This 302-nucleotide ribosomal RNA is filed under the name uncultured bacterium. Its description in RNAcentral is "partial 16S ribosomal RNA". It matches the Rfam family "Bacterial small subunit ribosomal RNA", at positions 1 to 329 of the family's 1533-position model. The record is from RNAcentral.
UAGUGAGUUUGAUCCUGGCUCAGGAUGAACGCUGGCGGUAUGCUUAACACAUGCAAGUCGAACGGGGUCCUUCGGGACCUAGUGGCGGACGGGUGAGUAACGCGUGAGAAACUGCCCCUUGGACCGGGACAACAGCUGGAAACGGCUGCUAAAACCCGGAUGUGCCGAAAGGUGAAAUAUUCAUAGCCAGGGGAUGUGCUCGCGUCAGAUUAGCUAGUUGGUGGGGGUAAUGGCCCACCAAGGCGACGAUGCAUACGCCGACCUGAGAGGGUGAUCGGCCACGACUGGGACUGACGACACGG